CAACAAAAAUAUUUAAAAUCAUAGUAGCACACAUUGCAAUAAUUAUAGUUCUUGUCUCUUAUGGGAUGCAUCAAGUGAUAAGACAACUGCAAAAGCCUACCUAGUUCAUUUUUAUUAUUUAAAGACAUUUCCAAACAGUAAACAGUUUAUUCAGUAGAAUGUUGGUGAUUGUCGAAAAUUAUUCAAGUAAAAAAAAGAAAAAUUUAGUUUCCAAUGUAGUGAUGAAAUAAUAAAUGUCACUGUUUGUGUCAUUCUGUUGUGGAAAUUUAAUGCAGAAUGCAAAACAAUAUAACAACAUAAAACAAAUUAAAUAAAUUCUAAAAUCUGCAUUUAUUAUAUGUAUGUUUUUUUUUUUUAUUUGUUUGUUCUUCACUGUUUUAGCCAAAGUUUAAAGAGCCAAUAUGGAGUGUCCAAAGAGCCAUUUGCGGCUCCGGUGACACAGGUUGCAGACCCUAGACUCUCUGAGGUGAACUUCAGUUCACCCUCCACUUUAAUCUUAAAUGGCAAAAACAAUUUUUCCGUGGAAAGCUGCAAGCUUAGCAGGCCCAAGUUACAUUAUCCAACCUACACCGCCCCGGUGACUGUUAAAAACAAUCAGAAAAGUGGUCUUCAUGUAGCCCAGACUUAUUCAGACCCAAUCAUCGGAGCCCCUCGCUCUUUCAUGCACCGGAUUUCUGAGCUCUCCUCUUUGGAAGGUGAGACGGUGAGAUAUGAGAAGAUGAAGAAAAUCAAGAAAUCUAAAAAAUCUCCGUCCUGACAAUCACCCCCUUCUGAGUCGCGACGGCCCAGGAUUAAGACAUUUGAGUCUGUGCCAACAACUGAACAAAAUAAAACACUUAGGGCACCAUAUUCAUUUCA
Molecule: non-coding RNA, 858 nt
Organism: Poecilia reticulata (guppy)
Lineage: Eukaryota; Metazoa; Chordata; Actinopteri; Cyprinodontiformes; Poeciliidae
Source: RefSeq, a predicted model, not a curated record